Molecule: small nuclear RNA, 196 nt
Filed under: Zalophus californianus (California sea lion)
Lineage: Eukaryota; Metazoa; Chordata; Mammalia; Carnivora; Otariidae
Description: U2 spliceosomal RNA (ENSZCAG00015021270.1)
Rfam family: U2 spliceosomal RNA
About the family: U2 is a small nuclear RNA (snRNA) component of the spliceosome (involved in pre-mRNA splicing). Complementary binding between U2 snRNA (in an area lying towards the 5' end but 3' to hairpin I) and the branchpoint sequence (BPS) of the intron results the bulging out of an unpaired adenosine, on the BPS, which initiates a nucleophilic attack at the intronic 5' splice site, thus starting the first of two transesterification reactions that mediate splicing.
Source: RNAcentral
AUUACGUCUCGGCUUUUUGGCUAAAUUCAAGUGUAGUAUCUGUUCUUGUCAGUUUAAUAUUUUUAUUUAUUUAAUGUUCUUUUUUUAAUUAUUUAUUUAUUUAUUUGAGAGACAGCAUGAGAGAGAGAGAGAGAGAGAGAGCAUGGGGGGAGGGUCAGAGGGAGAAGCAGACUCCCUGCUGAGCAGGGAGCCCGAC